AUGAUCUGCGAAGAUCACUACUUCCCCGUCCCUUGGCUGUGGUCUCUCUUCCGACGGGUCAGGGGCACGGUAGGACAUGAUUUCCUUCUUAGGCAAAUAUCCGGACUUAACAAAAUUGGCCAGGGUCUCGUUGGUGACGUUGGACCUCAUCCAGUUGCAAGUGAUGGGAGCCUUGGGAGGCAUGGUGAAAGUUGGUGGUCUAUGACAAAAAGGAAAAAUGACCGGGUUAAUUAUAAGCCGGAGAUCUACAGUUCAAAACUAUGGUGGCGGCUUAUGAAGGGGACUAAUGGUAUAUACUCAAAUACGGUGGUUUUCUUUAAGUCGGAGGAUUCUGCGAAGCAUGGUUUUCUUUAA
RNAcentral lists this ribosomal RNA (354 nucleotides) under Triticum aestivum (bread wheat). Its description in RNAcentral is "partial small subunit ribosomal RNA". The record is from RNAcentral. Lineage: Eukaryota; Viridiplantae; Streptophyta; Magnoliopsida; Poales; Poaceae.